GCAUCCAUGAAAACGCAGCGAAAUGCGAUAAGUAAUGUGAAUUGCAAAUUCAGUGAAUCAUCGAAUCUUUGAACGCACAUUGCGCCCCCUGGUAUUCCGGGGGGCAUGCCUGUUCGAGCGUCAUUUCACCACUCAAGCCUCGCUUGGUAUUGGGCAACGCGGUCCGCCGCGUGCCUCAAAUCGACCGGGUGGGUCUUCUGUCCCCUAAGCGUUGUGGAAACUAUUCGCUAAAGGUGGCUCGGGAGGCUACGCCGUAAAACAACCCCAUUUCUAAGGUUGACCUCGGAUCAGGUAGGGAUACCCGCUGAACUUAAGCAUAUCAAUAAGCGGAGGA
RNAcentral lists this ribosomal RNA (334 nucleotides) under uncultured fungus. Its description in RNAcentral is "eukaryotic LSU rRNA". The stretch from base 10 to 123 matches the Rfam family "5.8S ribosomal RNA", at positions 40 to 154 of the family's 154-position model. Lineage: Eukaryota; Fungi. The record is from RNAcentral.